Angiostrongylus cantonensis (rat lungworm) is the source of this 61-nucleotide non-coding RNA. NCBI's taxonomy places the organism in Eukaryota, Metazoa, Nematoda, Chromadorea, Rhabditida, Metastrongylidae. The record is from Rfam.
AGGGUGUUAACUUAAGUUUAAAGUGUUAGAUUUUUAAUCUAAAAAUGUUGUUCACAUCUUG